RNAcentral lists this ribosomal RNA (518 nucleotides) under uncultured bacterium. RNAcentral describes it as "partial 16S ribosomal RNA". It matches the Rfam family "Bacterial small subunit ribosomal RNA", at positions 28 to 523 of the family's 1533-position model. The record is from RNAcentral.
GACGAACGCUGGCGGCGUGCCUAAUACAUGCAAGUCGAACGCACGAAGUUGAAGAGCUUGCUCUUUAACCAAGUGAGUGGCGGACGGGUGAGUAACACGUGGGUAACCUGCCCAUUAGAGGGGGAUAACAUUCGGAAACGGAUGCUAAUACCGCAUAGUUUCAGGAAUCGCAUGAUUCUUGAAGGAAAGGUGGCUUCGGCUACCACUAAUGGAUGGACCCGCGGCGUAUUAGCUAGUUGGUGAGGUAAUGGCUCACCAAGGCAAUGAUACGUAGCCGACCUGAGAGGGUGAUCGGCAACGCUGGGACUGAGACACGGCCCAGACUCCUACGGGAGGCAGCAGUAGGGAAUCUUCCGCAAUGGACGGAAGUCUGACGGAGCAACGCCGCGUGAGUGAAGAAGGUUUUCGGAUCGUAAAACUCUGUUGUUAAAGAAGAACAAGGAUGAGAGUAACUGCUCAUCCCCUGACGGUAUUUAACCAGAAAGCCACGGCUAACUACGCGCCAGCCGCCGCAGUAA